AAUAUUGAUAAUGAAAUAAAUUCCUAAGUAUUAGACUAUUAGUUGCAAAAGGAAGAAAUAAAAAAAAGAAAAGUUGUUUAGGAGUCCCUUUCCUUUUUCUCUCUAAACUCUGAAGUGCAUCUUGACAUCAUACACAUGCAUGUGUUGCUAGUUUAAGGAAAAAGGAAAAGAGAAAGAAAUUAAGGAUUGAGAUUUGAUGAUAAUUCUUCUUUCUAUAUAUUCUUUAAGGAAAAAAAAAUGAAGGUGUUCAUGCAUUAGCUACAAUCCUUGAAAUUUAAUUUACUUGUGAGUAUAAUCCUAUCUUGAGCCAUAACAUUUAACUAUAGAAAACAAUGGUAUACCUCCAUUUUUUUAAAGUUAUUCCCAUAGCAAAAACAAAACCAUGAAAAUGCUUAUUCUAGUGAAGAAUGCCUACAAUCUCCAUUCAAACAUAGCCAAAUUAAGCAUUGAAAAGUUAUUCUAGUGAAGAAUGCAU
Molecule: unclassified non-coding RNA, 475 nt
Filed under: Hevea brasiliensis (rubber tree)
Lineage: Eukaryota; Viridiplantae; Streptophyta; Magnoliopsida; Malpighiales; Euphorbiaceae
Source: RNAcentral